AACCUGGCGGUGUGCUUCACACAUGCAGUCGAACGAGGUAGCAAUACCUAGUGGCGGACGGGUGAGUAACGCGUGGGAAUCUGCCCAAGGGUGGGGGAUAACUAACCGAAAGGUUAGCUAAUACCGCAUAUGCCGUGAGGUAAAAGGAGUAAUCCGCCCCUGGAUGAGCCUGCGUCCGAUUAGCUUGUUGGUAGGGUAAAAGCCUACCAAGGCUACGAUCGGUAGCUGGUCUGAGAGGAUGAUCAGCCACAAUGGGACUGAGACACGGCCCAUACUCCUACGGGAGGCAGCAGUGGGGAAUUUUACGCAAUGGGGGAAACCCUGACGUAGCGACACCGCGUGAGCGAAGA
RNAcentral lists this ribosomal RNA (350 nucleotides) under uncultured bacterium. Its description in RNAcentral is "bacterial SSU rRNA". It matches the Rfam family "Bacterial small subunit ribosomal RNA", at positions 36 to 411 of the family's 1533-position model. The record is from RNAcentral.